GAUGAACGCUGGCGGCGUGCCUAAUACAUGCAAGUCGAGCGAACAGACGAGGAGCUUGCUCCUCUGACGUUAGCGGCGGACGGGUGAGUAACACGUGGAUAACCUACCUAUAAGACUGGGAUAACUUCGGGAAACCGGAGCUAAUAACGGAUAAUAUAUUGAACCGCAUGGUUCAAUAGUGAAAGACGGUUUUGCUGUCACUUAUAGAUGGAUCCGCGCCGCAUUAGCUAGUUGGUAAGGUAACGGCUUACCAAGGCAACGAUGCGUAGCCGACCUGAGAGGGUGAUCGGCCACACUGGAACUGAGACACGGUCCAGACUCCUACGGGAGGCAGCAGUAGGGAAUCUUGCGCAAUGGGCGAAAGCUUGACGGAGCAACGCCGCGUGAGUGAUGAAGGUCUUCGGAUCGUAAAACUCUGUUAUUAGGGAAGAACAAAUGUGUAAGUAACUAUGCACGUCUUGACGGUACCUAAUCAGAAAGCCACGGCUAACUACGUG
RNAcentral lists this ribosomal RNA (497 nucleotides) under uncultured bacterium. Its description in RNAcentral is "partial 16S ribosomal RNA". It matches the Rfam family "Bacterial small subunit ribosomal RNA", at positions 28 to 507 of the family's 1533-position model. The record is from RNAcentral.